UCGGCAUUUGUAUAAAUCUGCGAUAAGGCUGAUAAUUUGAAAACAUUCCAGUCCUAUAACUUAAUGGUCCAAUCUUAAAAUUCUUCGACACGUGGUACAGGAUUAGCAAAGUGUAAGAGUGAAAGAAAUCUUUUUGCAUCGUACUGAUGGUCGAAUGGAGGGUAAUAUCUGCUUUUCAGGUAGAAACUCAAGCCUUCAGAAAGAAAAGAAGCAUCUUGAGACAGCUAUCCAUCCUUUACUACCAAAUCAUUCCAAUCCAGCAUCCUGGAGAAGGGUCUGUGGUAAUUGUCAUCUGACGAUUCUCUGGAAACACCAAAUGCCAGAGGUUUUGCUUUUACCAGAAAUAUAUUAAUCUGUCAUUCGUAAAAAAAAUUUAGGCAAACUAUACCCUUAAUAAAUUUUUGCUGCAGC
Molecule: long non-coding RNA, 411 nt
Organism: Argiope bruennichi
Lineage: Eukaryota; Metazoa; Arthropoda; Arachnida; Araneae; Araneidae
Exons: 3
Source: RefSeq, a predicted model, not a curated record